This 460-nucleotide ribosomal RNA is filed under the name uncultured bacterium. Its description in RNAcentral is "partial 16S ribosomal RNA". It matches the Rfam family "Bacterial small subunit ribosomal RNA", at positions 338 to 795 of the family's 1533-position model. The record is from RNAcentral.
CCUACGGGCGGCAGCAGUGAGGAAUAUUGGUCAAUGGGCGCGAGCCUGAACCAGCCAAGUCGCGUGAGGGAUGACGGCCCUACGGGUGGUAAACUUCUUUUGCCGGGGAGCAAAGGGCGCCACGUGUGGCGUCACUGAGAGUACCCGGAGAAAAAGCAGCGGCUAACUCCGGGCCAGCAGCCGCGGUAAUACGGAGGAUGCGAGCGUUAGCCGGAUUUAGUGGGUUAAAAGGGUGCGUAGGAGGUUCGUUAAGUCAAUGGUCAAAUUGAGGGGCUCAACCCCUUCCCGCCAUUGAAACUGGCGUUCUUGAGUGGAAGAGAGGUAUGCGGAAUGCGUGGUGUAGCGGUGAAAUGCAUAGAUAUCACGCAGAACCCCGAUUGCGAAGGCAGCAUGCCGGCUUCCGACUGACGCUGAAGCACGAAAGCGUGGGGAUCGAACAGGAUUAGAUACCCGAGUAGUC